Molecule: transfer RNA, 71 nt
Filed under: Siphlonurus immanis
Lineage: Eukaryota; Metazoa; Arthropoda; Insecta; Ephemeroptera; Siphlonuridae
Description: tRNA-Lys
Source: RNAcentral
CACUGAGUGUCUGAAAUGCAAGUAAAGGUCUCUUAAACCUUCAAUAGUAAUAUAGCAAUUACUCGCAGUGA